GAGAAGUAGCUGUAAAGCUCAGGAGGGAUAGCGCCAUAAUUCACGAGUUCGUGUAUACAUAUCGGCGCUAUCCAUCCUGAGUUCCAUGGCUUCUUCUU
Molecule: microRNA precursor, 98 nt
Organism: Arabis alpina (gray rockcress)
Lineage: Eukaryota; Viridiplantae; Streptophyta; Magnoliopsida; Brassicales; Brassicaceae
Rfam family: MIR390 microRNA precursor family
Source: Rfam